GGAUAACGUUUGGAAACGAACGCUAAUACCGCAUGAUAUUAUUGAGCUGCAUGGCUUGAUAAUCAAAGGAGCAAUCCGCUGAAAGAUGGGCUCGCGUCCGAUUAGGUAGUUGGCGGGGCAACGGCCCACCAAGCCGACGAUCGGUAGCCGGACUGAGAGGUUGAACGGCCACAUUGGGACUGAGACACGGCCCAGACUCCUACGGGAGGCAGCAGUGAGGGAUAUUGGUCAAUGGGGGAAACCCUGAACCAGCAACGCCGCGUGAGGGAAGACGGUUUUCGGAUUGUAAACCUCUGUCCUCUGUGAAGAUAAUGACGGUAGCAGAGGAGGAAGCUCCGGCUAACUACGUGCCAGCAGCCGCGGUAAUACGUAGGGAGCAAGCGUUGUCCGGAUUUACUGGGUGUAAAGGGUGCGUAGGCGGCUUUGCAAGUCAGAAGUGAAGUCCAUGGGCUUAACCCAUGAACUGCUUUUGAAACUGCAGAGCUUGAGUGGAGUAGAGGUAGGCGGAAUUCCCGGUGUAGCGGUGAAAUGCGUAGAGAUCGGGAGGAACACCAGUGGCGAAGGCGGCCUGCUGGGCUCUAACUGACGCUGAGGCACGAAAGCGUGGGUAGCAAACAGGAUUAGAUACCCUGGUAGUCCACGCUGUAAACGAUGAUUACUAGGUGUGGGUGGACUGACCCCAUCCGUGCCGGAG
This 694-nucleotide ribosomal RNA is filed under the name uncultured bacterium. RNAcentral describes it as "bacterial SSU rRNA". It matches the Rfam family "Bacterial small subunit ribosomal RNA", at positions 141 to 851 of the family's 1533-position model. The record is from RNAcentral.